UAGUCAUAUGCUUGUUUCAAGGAUUAAGCCAUGUAAGUCUCAGAGUAAAUGGAUAACAGUGGGUCUGCGAACAGCUCAUUAAAUCAGCUUCAAUCUACGUGGGGAAACUACCUUUUGGUAGACAAUUGGAUAACUCUGGUAACUCCAAAGCUAAUACAUGUCAGUAAAAUCCGCACCUCCAAAACACUUGGCUUUCGGGUCGGGUGUGGUGUUGGAUACGGUUGAUCGACAGAGAAACCAACGCCAAGCAAUUGGCAGUGGUAGAUGGAUGAUUCAGGUCAACUUCGUAGUAGCACACGCUUCAUGCGGUGCUCGUCCACAAGGGAAUCUGCCCUAUCAGCUUGUCGGUAGUGUCGUGGACUACCGUGGCAGUAACGGGUAACGGGGAAUUAGGGUUCUAUUCCGGAGAGGGAGCCUGAGAAACGGCUACCACAACUAAGGUUGGCAACAGGCGCGCAAAUUGCCCAAUAGCAACACCUAGCUGAGGCAGCGAAGAGGAAUAGCAGUCUCAUGCGGUCUUACCGUGUGUGGUCUGCAAUGGACGAUAUCUAAACCAGUCGAUGAGUAUCAAUUGGAGGACAAGCCUGGUGCCAGCACCCGCGGUAAUUCCAGCUCCAAUAGCGUAUAUUAAUGCUGCUGCUGUUAAAAAGCUCGUAGUUGGAUCAAGAGUGCUAGGGUGCUCAGAGGCCCUUUCCCCUUCACGGGGGUUUGCGGAAAUAACCCUGAGCAACACGCCCUGGCCUCUACAUAAGGCUGAAACGGUUCACUGCUAGUAGGUUCCUUCAUUGGGACUGAAAGCACAUUCGCAUAAACCACAUGCAUAAGUGACGUCGGCUAAUGUUACUGUAAACAAACCAGUGUGUUCAAAGCAGGCAAUUGCCUGAAUGUUCGAGUAUGGGAUAACAAGGGAUCGAUCCUCUCGGCCCUCUUUGUUGGUUACUAAUCCGAGGAGGAAUAACAGUGGUCACUGAUGUCUGAGUUAGGUGGUUUACCACCUAAUUAGGUCGUGACCAACCGGGAUCAAUAGGGACUGUCGGGGUCGUAAGUACUGGCACGUCAGAGGUGAAAUUCUUAGAUCGUGUCAAGACUGACGUAUGCGAAAGCAUUCGACAAGGAUGUCUUCAUUAAUCAAGAACGAGAGUGUGGGGAUCGAAGAUGAUCAGAUACCGUCGUAGUCCACCACUGUAAACAAUGCCGUCUCAGGAUCGAUGAGUGUACAUUAUGGCUUCGACGGCACUAACCCCUGAAACGAGAAAUCAAAGACUAUGGGUUCAGGGGGGAGUACAUUCGCAAGGCUGAAACUUAAAGGAAUUGACGGAAUGACACCACCAGGUGUGGAGUAUGCGGCUUAAUUUGACUCAACACGGGGAAUUUUACUAGGUCAGGACAAUGUAAGGAUUGACAGGUUGAGAGCCCUUUCUCGAUCCAUUGUGUGGUGGUGCAUGGCCGCUCCUGGUUGGUGGAGUGAUUUGUCUGGUUGAUUCCGUUAACGAACGAGAUCUCGACUAAUUAAUAGGUGUCAGUGUCGAUCGUAGUGUUUGUACCACUUCUUCGGGAGUCCGGUACUGCACGAGACAGCUGGCGAAUACUUCUUAUUGGGACUGCAUGCGUCUCUAGCAUGCGGAAGAGCGAGCCAAUAGCAGGUCUGUGAUGCUCCUAAAUGUCCUAGGCUGCACGCGCACUACACUGAUGCAGCAAACGAGUUGAUUGCCAUUGGCAACCUUACUUGAAAAAGUUGGGAAAUCUUUUGAACCUGCAUCGUGAUGAGGAUCGAAGAUUGCAAUUAUUCUCCUUGAAUGAGGAAUACCUAGUAGGCGCAAGUCAUCAGCUUGCACUGAUUACGUCCCUGCCAUUUGUACACACCGCCCGUCGUUGCUACCGAUUGGCUGUAGGGUAGAGGUCGGCGGACCGAAGUGUUGUGGGGUUACUCACACAUUUUGCGAAACCUACCAAUAUUCUGCGGCUAGAGGAAGCAAAAGUCGUAACAAGGUUGCU
RNAcentral lists this ribosomal RNA (1995 nucleotides) under Hemistasiidae sp. Its description in RNAcentral is "SSU rRNA". It matches the Rfam family "Eukaryotic small subunit ribosomal RNA". Lineage: Eukaryota; Euglenozoa; Diplonemea; Diplonemida; Hemistasiidae. The record is from RNAcentral.